Thunnus maccoyii (southern bluefin tuna) is the source of this 1554-nucleotide long non-coding RNA. RefSeq lists it as uncharacterized. NCBI's taxonomy places the organism in Eukaryota, Metazoa, Chordata, Actinopteri, Scombriformes, Scombridae. The transcript has 4 exons. The record is from RefSeq and is a predicted model, not a curated record.
GAAGGUCUUUGGAGGUUUAUCAGAAAUGUUCCUGAGCAGGAAGGCCAGUACAUGUAUCUGACUGACAUCUGAGCCAACAGGAACAAAACUAGGCCAUGACAGACAAAAGCAGAGACAUUCUGACAUGUCAGAAAGUCAUCAGAGGGAGAAACACACACACCAGGAGACGCAGAUGAGUUUAAUGUGGCAUCCUGCAGAUGCUUAUAUGAUGUUGCCCCCUAAUGAAGCGGGCAUCCUUUGUGCCAAGAGUGUAUCAGAGGAAUCCAGUGCUCAGCCAUAAACAACACGGCACCCUAUCUACCAGGCCAUGGUGUGGGCUGACAUGGAGAAUGUGAUGAAGAGGUGACCUCCCAAAACAGCCUCUGUGAUGUUUUAGCCGUGACGCCUGGAUCCUUCACAGGAAGCAGACAUCGGAAUCCUAUCUUUAGUCUCCAAGCCUACAUAUGUUUAUGUCUUUUCUUGCAUUCUUCUUCAUGGGAAAUAUGUGCUGCCGUAGACUGGAGAGCGAUACACAUUCAGGCUGUCAUGAGUGAUAAUGUGGAGUACAUUUAAAACUCACAAUUUCCAUGCAACAACUGAAAGGUAUAUAAUUUAGAAUUUUCUUAUUCUUAUUCUUGUCAAGGUAGAGGUCUGGAGCACAACUGCUUAACCUAUUCAGUAAGUGAUGAGAAAACAAACACCAAAAUCUUCAGUAUGUCUCCAGUAAAUUACAUUCAAACACACUGAAAGACAGGUAGACAAUGAUAAAACUUCUAGCAGUUUUAUCUAAACAGCCCCUCCAAAUCCUGUGAGAGCACAAAUCCUGACAUGUCUGUGUAGAUUGGUCUUUGAUUCUUGAUCAUCCAGGUGGUAAGAUCUGAAAAACAGAUAGGUUCUCAAUCAAAAUUCAGUCCUCAGGGCGCCCCGGUAACAACAUCAGAGUUCAAUUCCGGCCAUGGACUGUUGUUGAAUGUCAUACCGUUCUCUCUAUCCGUGUUUCCUGUCUCUCUGCACUUCCAACAGUAAAAUACAGGCAAAAAUGCCUUCAAUUCAACCUUCACAGACACCACUUCUUGCACAGGACUGUACCAAAAGUCAUCACUUUAGAAUCCUGCUAACGCCAGCUAAAUGAAUGUUUGGAACGUUCUCUUUGCUAAUAAAAAAAGAUAGUGGACAGAUAAAAAUAAAAGAUUCAUUAGCACCUGCUACAGCAAAUCUAGCUAUUUCAACCUUGAAUCAGAUCCAAAACAGAACCAACUGUCAGAAGCCAACCCUACAACUGGCACAGACUAUCUAUCUGAUCAGUCAUAAUGUCCAAAUUUGGGACAGAAUUAGUUUUAUGUUGUAAUGUGUGUAUAUAAACAGCUUCUUUACUUCCCCUUUAACCUUGACAUCACAUAGCAGUGGACAUUAUGUGCAUUUUUAAUGGAAUGUACAGGUGUAAGGUGGGGAGUAAGUAGUAUGUAUCUUAGUUUUCCAGGGCAGAAAUCAGCAUGUGGUCAAAACCACGGUAGAUAAAAGAUGUAUAAAGAAGUCCUAUAGUGUGUGUUCCCGACAUCUCCACAAAAUGGUAUA